GGGUUGUGAGGUUAAGCGACUAAGCGUACACGGUGGAUGCCCUGGCAGUCAGAGGCGAUGAAGGACGUGCUAAUCUGCGAUAAGCGUCGGUGAGGUGAUAUGAACCGUUAUAACCGGCGAUUUCCGAAUGGGGAAACCCAGUGUGUUUCGACACACUAUCAUUAACUGAAUCCAUAGGUUAAUGAGGCGAACCGGGGGAACUGAAACAUCUAAGUACCCCGAGGAAAAGAAAUCAACCGAGAUUCCCCCAGUAGCGGCGAGCGAACGGGGAGGAGCCCAGAGCCUGAAUCAGUGUGUGUGUUAGUGGAAGCGUCUGGAAAGGCGUGCGAUACAGGGUGACAGCCCCGUACACAAAAAUGCACAUAUUGUGAGCUCGAUGAGUAGGGCGGGACACGUGGUAUCCUGUCUGAAUAUGGGGGGACCAUCCUCCAAGGCUAAAUACUCCUGACUGACCGAUAGUGAACCAGUACCGUGAGGGAAAGGCGAAAAGAACCCCGGCGAGGGGAGUGAAAAAGAACCUGAAACCGUGUACGUACAAGCAGUGGGAGCCUCUUAAUGGGGUGACUGCGUACCUUUUGUAUAAUGGGUCAGCGACUUAUAUUCUGUAGCAAGGUUAACCGAAUAGGGGAGCCGAAGGGAAACCGAGUCUUAACUGGGCGUUAAGUUGCAGGGUAUAGACCCGAAACCCGGUGAUCUAGCCAUGGGCAGGUUGAAGGUUGGGUAACACUAACUGGAGGACCGAACCGACUAAUGUUGAAAAAUUAGCGGAUGACUUGUGGCUGGGGGUGAAAGGCCAAUCAAACCGGGAGAUAGCUGGUUCUCCCCGAAAGCUAUUUAGGUAGCGCCUCGUGAAUUCAUCUCCGGGGGUAGAGCACUGUUUCGGCAAGGGGGUCAUCCCGACUUACCAACCCGAUGCAAACUGCGAAUACCGGAGAAUGUUAUCACGGGAGACACACGGCGGGUGCUAACGUCCGUCGUGAAGAGGGAAACAACCCAGACCGCCAGCUAAGGUCCCAAAGUCAUGGUUAAGUGGGAAACGAUGUGGGAAGGCCCAGACAGCCAGGAUGUUGGCUUAGAAGCAGCCAUCAUUUAAAGAAAGCGUAAUAGCUCACUGGUCGAGUCGGCCUGCGCGGAAGAUGUAACGGGGCUAAACCAUGCACCGAAGCUGCGGCAGCGACACUAUGUGUUGUUGGGUAGGGGAGCGUUCUGUAAGCCUGUGAAGGUGGCCUGUGAGGGUUGCUGGAGGUAUCAGAAGUGCGAAUGCUGACAUAAGUAACGAUAAAGCGGGUGAAAAGCCCGCUCGCCGGAAGACCAAGGGUUCCUGUCCAACGUUAAUCGGGGCAGGGUGAGUCGACCCCUAAGGCGAGGCCGAAAGGCGUAGUCGAUGGGAAACAGGUUAAUAUUCCUGUACUUGGUGUUACUGCGAAGGGGGGACGGAGAAGGCUAUGUUGGCCGGGCGACGGUUGUCCCGGUUUAAGCGUGUAGGCUGGUUUUCCAGGCAAAUCCGGAAAACCAAGGCUGAGGCGUGAUGACGAGGCACUACGGUGCUGAAGCGA
This 1556-nucleotide ribosomal RNA is filed under the name Escherichia coli. Its description in RNAcentral is "partial 23S ribosomal RNA". It matches the Rfam family "Bacterial large subunit ribosomal RNA", at positions 1 to 1593 of the family's 2925-position model. The record is from RNAcentral. Lineage: Bacteria; Pseudomonadati; Pseudomonadota; Gammaproteobacteria; Enterobacterales; Enterobacteriaceae.